Molecule: transfer RNA, 73 nt
Filed under: Candidatus Tremblaya phenacola PAVE
Lineage: Bacteria; Pseudomonadati; Pseudomonadota; Betaproteobacteria
Description: tRNA-Asn (GTT) (tRNA-Asn-GTT-1-1)
Rfam family: tRNA
About the family: Transfer RNA (tRNA) molecules are approximately 80 nucleotides in length. Their secondary structure includes four short double-helical elements and three loops (D, anti-codon, and T loops).
Source: RNAcentral
UCCUCAGUAGCUCAGCUGGUAGAGCAUCGGACUGUUAAUUCGCUUGUCCCUGGUUCGAAUCCAGGCUGAGGAG